Drosophila takahashii is the source of this 360-nucleotide non-coding RNA. The record is from RefSeq and is a predicted model, not a curated record. Lineage: Eukaryota; Metazoa; Arthropoda; Insecta; Diptera; Drosophilidae.
AAGGUUAGGGAAAUCUAAGUAAAUCGCUUCAUUUUGUUGCGCUACGAAUCACUGUGUAAAUUGCAUUUUUACGGGGUAUUACAGAGAGAUUUCUUCCCAUAUGAAAAACUCAAUAAAAGGCUGAUCCAGCUGUUUGUUAACCACUGUUUGAUCUACUCUCGCAGGAAACAAUCUAACAAAAUGAAAAUUUUCUUCGCGCUUUUCGUUGUGGGAAUUUUGGCAUCGGCAAAUGCUCAACGUCCAGGUUCAUUAGCACACGAUCUCUAUAAUUGGGUGACCUAGCCAAGCGAAAGAGCCGAGCGGAAAAAAAAAAUAUAUAAAAUGCUUUUAAAAGUAAAAUAAAAAUAUUUUCUUCAAGGA